RNAcentral lists this ribosomal RNA (901 nucleotides) under uncultured bacterium. RNAcentral describes it as "bacterial SSU rRNA". It matches the Rfam family "Bacterial small subunit ribosomal RNA", at positions 51 to 965 of the family's 1533-position model. The record is from RNAcentral.
ACACAUGCAAGUCGAACGAGCGAGAGAGAGCUUGCUUUCUCGAGCGAGUGGCGGACGGGUGAGUAACGCGUGAGGAACCUGCCUCAAAGAGGGGGACAACAGUUGGAAACGACUGCUAAUACCGCAUAAGCCCACGGCUCGGCAUCGAGCAGAGGGAAAAGGAGCAAUCCGCUUUGAGAUGGCCUCGCGUCCGAUUAGCUAGUUGGUGAGGUAACGGCCCACCAAGGCGACGAUCGGUAGCCGGACUGAGAGGUUGAACGGCCACAUUGGGACUGAGACACGGCCCAGACUCCUACGGGAGGCAGCAGUGGGGAAUAUUGCACAAUGGGGGAAACCCUGAUGCAGCGACGCCGCGUGGAGGAAGAAGGUCUUCGGAUUGUAAACUCCUGUUGUUGGGGAAGAUAAUGACGGUACCCAACAAGGAAGUGACGGCUAACUACGUGCCAGCAGCCGCGGUAAAGCGUAGGUCACAAGCGUUGUCCGGAAUUACUGGGUGUAAAGGGAGCGCAGGCGGGAAGACAAGUUGGAAGUGAAAUCUAUGGGCUCAACCCAUAAACUGCUUUCAAAACUGUUUUUCUUGAGUAGUGCAGAGGUAGGCGGAAUUCCCGGUGUAGCGGUGGAAUGCGUAGAUAUCGGGAGGAACACCAGUGGCGAAGGCGGCCUACUGGGCACCAACUGACGCUGAGGCUCGAAAGUGUGGGUAGCAAACAGGAUUAGAUACCCUGGUAGUCCACACCGUAAACGAUGAUUACUAGGUGUUGGAGGAUUGACCCCUUCAGUGCCGCAGUUAACACAAUAAGUAAUCCACCUGGGGAGUACGACCGCAAGGUUGAAACUCAAAGGAAUUGACGGGGGCCCGCACAAGCAGUGGAGUAUGUGGUUUAAUUCGACGCAACGCGAA